GCGCUCGUAGCUUAGUGGAUAGAGCAUCGGUUUGCGGAACCGAAGGUCGUGCGUUCGACUCGCACCGAGCGCG
Molecule: transfer RNA, 73 nt
Filed under: Chloroflexota bacterium
Lineage: Bacteria; Bacillati; Chloroflexota
Description: tRNA-Arg
Rfam family: tRNA
About the family: Transfer RNA (tRNA) molecules are approximately 80 nucleotides in length. Their secondary structure includes four short double-helical elements and three loops (D, anti-codon, and T loops). Further hydrogen bonds mediate the characteristic L-shaped molecular structure. tRNAs have two regions of fundamental functional importance: the anti-codon, which is responsible for specific mRNA codon recognition, and the 3' end, to which the tRNAs corresponding amino acid is attached (by aminoacyl-tRNA synthetases). tRNAs cope with the degeneracy of the genetic code in two manners: having more than one tRNA (with a specific anti-codon) for a particular amino acid; and 'wobble' base-pairing, i.e. permitting non-standard base-pairing at the 3rd anti-codon position.
Source: RNAcentral